UACGAAGGGAGCUAGCGUUGUUCGGAAUCACUGGGCGUAAAGCGCACGUAGGCGGAUGUGUCAGUCAGGGGUGAAAUCCCGGUGCUCAACUUCGGAACUGCCUUUGAUACAGCACGUCUUGAGUCCGGAAGAGGUGGGUGGAAUUCCUAGUGUAGAGGUGAAAUUCGUAGAUAUUAGGAAGAACACCGGUGGCGAAGGCGGCCCACUGGUCCGGUACUGACGCUGAGGUGCGAAAGCGUGGGGAGCAAACAGG
RNAcentral lists this ribosomal RNA (253 nucleotides) under uncultured bacterium. RNAcentral describes it as "partial 16S ribosomal RNA". It matches the Rfam family "Bacterial small subunit ribosomal RNA", at positions 524 to 776 of the family's 1533-position model. The record is from RNAcentral.